UACAGAGGGUGCGCGCGUUACUCGGAUUUACUGGGCGUAAAGCGUGCGUGGGCGGCUUUUUAAGUCGGAUGUGAAAUCCCCGAGCUUAACUUGGGAAUUGCAUUCGAUACUGGGAAGCAAGAGUAGGGGAGAGGAUAGUAGAAUUCCAGGUGUAGCGGUGAAAUGCGUAGAGAUCUGGAGGAAUACCGAUGGCGAAGGCAGCCAUCUGGCCUAAUACUGACGCUGAGGUACGAAAGCGUGGGUAGCAAACAGG
This 253-nucleotide unclassified non-coding RNA is filed under the name uncultured Moraxellaceae bacterium. RNAcentral's name for it is "contains 16S-23S intergenic spacer region". It matches the Rfam family "Bacterial small subunit ribosomal RNA", at positions 524 to 776 of the family's 1533-position model. Lineage: Bacteria; Pseudomonadati; Pseudomonadota; Gammaproteobacteria; Moraxellales; Moraxellaceae. The record is from RNAcentral.